AGCUGCGUGUGGAUACAAAUGUUGGUGUUUCGUUUCCACGGAUCCCGUAAAAAGGAGGGUUUAUUCUGCCGCGUAAAGGGAGAUAAGACGAGUGCAGGGCGGCAGAAACAGGAGGCCGAUGCAGUGAAUGUGGAUCUCAGCAUCCCCCCCCCCUCCGUGCACGCACACCUUUGUGCUGGAGAUUUACCAGGGAGCCCGAUGUGACGUCAAAGCUGCGGGAGAAGGGAAAAGAAGCGCUAUCGCCAUGGAAACCCGUCUCCCUCAGUUUCCCCCGUGAUGUGAGAACACGAACGCGGUGUCAUUGCACAGACCUCGGCCUGUCACGUGAGGGAGGCGUGGUGGAAUGUUUCAGGACAGCAGCUGACUUUGUGUUUACCUCCAGUGACGGACGGCUCCAUGAAUUAGCCUUUUAUUGCCUGUUUAAAGUUGAACUCCGGACCAGUGCCAUUUAUAGACUUGUGAACGACUUCAAGGUAGACUUCUCGUUUAAAGAUCUGCAGACACACGCCCGUAGUUUAGCUGUGACGGUGCUGGAGACCCGGCCGAUGAUCAGUUUGUUUUUGCUUUGCUGCCGCUUGGUGUGUUUCUGUCGUCAGUGACUAACUACGUGAUUGUGUAGAGUUUAAGGUUGCUCAUCCGUCCUCUGGCCCGGCAGGAUGAAUGGACUUAGUCCAUGAAAGCACGUGUUCAUCCACCGUCCACAGACGUGAACAGCAGCACUGACCACCGUACGGGAAGACGUCUCUAGUUUCAACCCGCUGAGAGAUUCACUGUGAGGGACAAUCAAACCCGUUCAGUUUUGUACAUUUGCCAUUCACAGACACAGAUUCUAAACUUGGGGCCCUCUCCCCCCCGCGCUUUUUGG
Molecule: long non-coding RNA, 865 nt
Organism: Gasterosteus aculeatus aculeatus (three-spined stickleback)
Lineage: Eukaryota; Metazoa; Chordata; Actinopteri; Perciformes; Gasterosteidae
Source: Ensembl